CAGAGAACAAACGUCAGGCAGUGGAGGUUGCCUCCAGAGCCUCAUGAAGGUGAAAAAGGGGCUGGAGAGAUGGCUUUUGGGCAUGUUGCCCAGUCUGGUCUCCAAUUCCUCAUCCGCCCCAGCCUCCCAAAGUGCUAGGAUUACAGACAUGAGCCACCACGCCCAGCCCUAUUCAAAUUUUUGUCUUAAUAUCUAGCACAUAGAGCCACUCUGCAAACUUAGGAUGGCAAUAUCUGCAACUGAUGCAUUAGGGGGGUUACAAUAACACUGGGAAAAAAGUUAUAAAUUACAAAAGAUGCCAUAAUGCUGUUGCAAGACUUUCUGGGGUAUUUGCAAAC
This 338-nucleotide long non-coding RNA is filed under the name Homo sapiens (human). RNAcentral describes it as "HSALNT0173223". Lineage: Eukaryota; Metazoa; Chordata; Mammalia; Primates; Hominidae. The record is from RNAcentral.